GACGAACGCUGGCGGCAUGCCUAACACAUGCAAGUCGAGCGCCCUUUCGGGGGAGUUGCGGACGGGUGAGUAGCGCGGGGGAAUAUGCCCUUCUCUACGGAAUAGCCUUGGGAAACUGAGAGUAAUACCGUAUACGCGCUGUGGGGGAAAGAUUUAUCGGGAAAGGAUUAGCGCGCGUUGGAUUAGGGGGUUUGGGGGGUAAUGUCAUACCAAGCCGACGAUCCUUAGCUGUUUUGAGAGAAUGAUCAGCCACACUGGGACUGAGACACGGCCCAGACUCCUACGGGAGGCAGCAGUGGGGAAUCUUAGACAAUGGGGGCAGCCCUGAUCUAGCCAUGCCGCGUGAGUGAUGAAGGCCUUAGGGUUGUAAAGCUCUUUCAGCUGGGAAGAUAAUGACGGUACCAGCAGAAGAAGCCCCGGCUAACUCCGUG
RNAcentral lists this ribosomal RNA (431 nucleotides) under uncultured bacterium. Its description in RNAcentral is "partial 16S ribosomal RNA". It matches the Rfam family "Bacterial small subunit ribosomal RNA", at positions 28 to 507 of the family's 1533-position model. The record is from RNAcentral.